AGUGGGGGACAACGUGUGGAAACGCACGCUAAUACCGCAUAAGCUCUACGGAGGAAAACGGGGGAUCUUCGGACCUCGUGCUACUAGAUGGGCCUAUAUUGGAUUAGCUAGUUGGUAAGGUAAAGGCUUACCAAGGCGACGAUCCAUAGCUGGUUUGAGAGAAUGAUCAGCCACACUGGGACUGAGACACGGCCCAGACUCCUACGGGAGGCAGCAGUGGGGAAUAUUGCACAAUGGAGGAAACUCUGAUGCAGCAAUGCCGCGUGUGUGAAGAAGGCCUUAGGGUUGUAAAGCACUUUCAGACGUGAGGAAAAGUUAUCUAUUAAUACUAGAUAGCCCUGACGUUAACGUCAGAAGAAGCACCGGCUAACUCCGUGCCAGCAGCCGCGGUAAUACGGAGGGUGCAAGCGUUAAUCGGAAUUACUGGGCGUAAAGCGCGCGUAGGCGGUUAAAUAAGUCAGAUGUGAAAUCCCUGGGCUCAACCUAGGAACUGCAUUUGAAACUGUUUGGCUAGAGUAUGGUAGAGGUGAGUGGAAUUUCAGGUGUAGCGGUGAAAUGCGUAGAGAUCUGAAGGAACAUCAGUGGCGAAGGCGACUCACUGGGCCAUUACUGACGCUGAGGUGCGAAAGCGUGGGUAGCAAACAGGAUUAGAUACCCUGGUAGUCCACGCCCUAAACGAUGUCAACUAGGUGUGUGAGAGUCUAACUCUUGCGUAUCGAAGCUAACGCGAUAAGUUGACCGCCUGGGGAGUACGGCCGCAAGGCUAAAACUCAA
Molecule: ribosomal RNA, 774 nt
Filed under: marine metagenome
Description: bacterial SSU rRNA
Rfam family: Bacterial small subunit ribosomal RNA
Source: RNAcentral